ACAAGCGGAGGAGCAUGUGGUUAAUUCGAUGAUACGCGAGGAACCUUACCUGGGCUCGAACGUAAGAUGACUGUAGGUGAAAGCUUACAUCUCUUCGGAGCAUUUUACGAGGUGCUGCAUGGUUGUCGUCAGCUCGUGCCGUGAGGUGUCGGGUUAAGUCCCAUAACGAGCGCAACCCCUACCUUUAGUUGCCAUCAGGUUAAGCUGGGGACUCUGAAGGAACUGCCUACGCAAGUAGUGAGGAAGGCGGGGAUGACGUCAAAUCAGCACGGCCCUUACGUCCAGGGCUACACACGUGCUACAAUGGCCGAUACAGAGGGCAGCUACCUGGUGACAGGAUGCAAAUCUCCAAAGUCGGUCUCAGUUCGGAUCGGAGUCUGCAACCCGACUCCGUGAAGUUGGAUUCGCUAGUAAUCGCGCAUCAGCCAUGGCGCGGUGAAUACGUUCCCGGGCCUU
This 456-nucleotide ribosomal RNA is filed under the name uncultured Sphingobacteriales bacterium. RNAcentral's name for it is "bacterial SSU rRNA". It matches the Rfam family "Bacterial small subunit ribosomal RNA", at positions 925 to 1382 of the family's 1533-position model. Lineage: Bacteria; Pseudomonadati; Bacteroidota; Sphingobacteriia; Sphingobacteriales. The record is from RNAcentral.